AUCACUAAGCGGAGGAAAAGAAACUAACAAGGAUUCCCUCAGUAACGGCGAGUGAACCGGGAAGAGCCCAGCACCGAAUCCCCUGCAUAGACUGUAGAGGGAACUGUGGUGUUUGGGAGAGCCUGUGGGGCGGGCGGUGGCGUCCGAGUCCUUAUGAACGGGGCUUUUGCCAGAGCGGGUGUCAGUCCUCUAGGACGCAGCCGUCCCGUCGCUCAGUACCUCCUAGGAGUCGGGUUGUUUGAGAUUGCAGCCCAAAGUGGGUGGUAAACUCCAUCUAAGGCUAAAUACUGGCACGAGACCGAUAGCAAACAAGUACCGUGAGGGAAAGUU
Molecule: ribosomal RNA, 330 nt
Filed under: Pseudopolydora nordica
Lineage: Eukaryota; Metazoa; Annelida; Polychaeta; Spionida; Spionidae
Description: partial 28S ribosomal RNA
Rfam family: Eukaryotic large subunit ribosomal RNA
Source: RNAcentral